AUGAGUUUGAUCGCCUUCAUACUUAUAAGUCAUUUUCAAUGAUAGAGUUUCUGAAUCGACGAUUCAUACCGUGAAAUAUUAUGUAGAACAUUUAAAGUUUCUAGAAAUCAAAUUUUAUAAUUUUUCAAUAUUAUUUACCUUACGAUCAAAAAGUCACGAUGUAAAACAAUCCAAAUCUGAUGAAAUUUUUAGAAAUUUUUUUUUCACUAUUUAAAGUAACAUCAGUGUGUUUGAUCUUAAAUUCUAGUCUUUUCUUAUUAUUUUUUAUAAGAUUUUUAUUUUCAGCCGUUUAUUUUUAGAAUACUUUUUUGAUAGGUAAAUAAUGUCGAAAAAUUAUGAAAUUUAGUUUUCAAAUACUUUUAAUAGUGUAAAUCAAAUCUAACAGAGCUGAUCAUCGAUUUAGAAGCCGCAUCAUUGAAAACAACUUAUUACCACGGAGCUCCGGUAGUAUAGUCUUAUUUUCGAUCUUAGGAUGUUCAAAUUAACGAUCCAGACCAUUAAAUAUGAUCUAGGGUAUAUGAAGUUUUUAGAAUAAAAUUUUUAUUUUUUUCGACAUCGUUUAUUUAGUAAAUAAAUUAUGUCAAAAUGGACAGUGAAAAUUGAAUAAUCUUUAAAAUUUGAGCAUAGGACUUUUAAAUUCAAAAUCAAGAAUGGUAACCUUAAUCAAAGUAUUUUCUAUCAAAAUUUGAAGAAAUUUAAAUUCUUCUACACCGUUAAACUUCAAACUCGCCAUAGUAGCCAUUGAAAAUUGACAAUUUUGAAAUGAUUUGAUCAUAAAGUAA
RNAcentral lists this long non-coding RNA (782 nucleotides) under Ananas comosus (pineapple). Its description in RNAcentral is "long non-coding RNA (ACOM_LNC019229)". Lineage: Eukaryota; Viridiplantae; Streptophyta; Magnoliopsida; Poales; Bromeliaceae. The record is from RNAcentral.